UUAAUGAGAACAGCAUAUUAUUUUUUCAUGCGAAACGUUUUUUAAAUACAAAAUCUUUUUUUACUGUUCCAUGUGCUUCGGAAGAGUUGGAUAUAUUUAUAAUUUUAAGCACAACUGCGGCAGAAACUAUAACAGUUCCACUCACCGAAAUCAAGAAAAAAUGUUUAAUAUUGAAAAAUACGGACCAACCUGAUUCUUAUAUUACAAUACCACUACUUCAUACUAACAAUUAGAUGCUCUGCAUUGUUAUUAAUUAGAAAGUAUUUGAACAAACCAAAAAAAAUAUGAUGAUGAAUAUUAAUCAUUGCAACGUGUUUCUUCGUCUUGAAUAAAUAAAUACUGAUAUACUUACAUACUUGGAAACGUGAAAAUAUUAUCCGCAUUCAAUAAAACAAACAUUUAUAAGAUUAUAUGGUAAAAUAAAGAUGGAUCGUUGCGAAACUGGAACAAGUAAGAAAUAUUCCGUUGUAAAGUUUCUUAUAGAUGACUCUUACUCCGAAAUACAUCAUGGUUUAUGCACGAUGGCAGUAAGCAGCUGUGCUUGUGGCCACCACGGACAGCAAAUGCCGCUAACUUUAUAGCCAAUUGCGUAAGUCCAUGUUUGGAAACUUGGAAUCAAUAUGAAGUUGAUGUUAUAAAAUCCUGUACAUCUCUAGAAUCGGCAAGAAGAAGUGCAGCUGACUCCAAUUAUCAAACAACCGAUGAAGACAGAUUGGGACGUGGCAAAAGGCUACAUAUAGAACCGAACCGAUAUAGCAGCGAAGAAGAGGAAAAAGAAAACAAUAUACUUCGACCAUAUAAGAAGAGAUCAAUUAAUACAAGAAAAAUAGUUUCUGCCAUUCCAUCAUUUCCGGGCGACUUAACAUGCAGUGAUAUAUAUAAUAUUAAUGAAGAUAUUAAUGUGAGGAAUAAUAAUAGAAACGACAUUUCAACGUCACAACGUCAUAAUGAACAAAUAAAAACCUAUGAAGCAUCCGACGAUGUACAAUCAUACGAUAAAUGGAAAGUUCUUCAUUGUGUGUUUCAUCGUCUGCAAAGGUACAAGAAGAUCCAAAUAUAAAAAGUCAUCAGAUCCUAUUAUACUCGUAUUAGAUAAUGUAUCAAUGAUUGAGAAUUGGAUUGAACAUUAUAUUUCGACGAACUUCGAUCUUGAAUAUUUAAAAGAAAUGUUACGUAUGCAAGCAACGUCGAAUUUAAUAUUAUAAGAUUUGAAACAACGAGUAAGCAGAACAGAAGAAGCAAUGACAACUUGCACUCCCGUUUUAAGGAACAGCGAUAAGAACAGUAUAAUUUUACCAUUACGAACAAUUGAAAGCAUACGAGACUUUGAAGCGUUAUUACACGAUACUGAUGAAGCAGUAAUACAAUU
Molecule: unclassified non-coding RNA, 1369 nt
Filed under: Harpegnathos saltator (Jerdon's jumping ant)
Lineage: Eukaryota; Metazoa; Arthropoda; Insecta; Hymenoptera; Formicidae
Description: uncharacterized LOC109503826, transcript variant X6
Source: RNAcentral